RNAcentral lists this ribosomal RNA (331 nucleotides) under uncultured eukaryote. Its description in RNAcentral is "partial 18S ribosomal RNA". It matches the Rfam family "Eukaryotic small subunit ribosomal RNA", at positions 1470 to 1796 of the family's 1831-position model. The record is from RNAcentral.
CCCUUAGAUGUUCUGGGCCGCACACGCGCUACACUUGCAGGUUCAUCGAGCUUCAUGCCCUGAUCUGAGAAGAACGGGAAAUCUUUGAACACCUGCCGUGCUUGGGAUAGAUGUUUGCAAUUAUUCAUCUUCAACGAGGAUUGCCUUGUAAGCGCACGUCAUCAGCGUGCAUUGAAUACGACCCUGUAUUCUGUACACACCGCCCGUCGCUCCUACCGAUUGAAGUUUUCGGUGAAUUUACUGGAGAUCCCUUUUGAAGGUGGUUCGCCACUGGAAGAAGUAUUCAAAAGUAAAUGAAUCGAAUGCUUUAGAGGAAGGAGAAGUCGUAACA